Molecule: non-coding RNA, 87 nt
Organism: Truncatella angustata
Lineage: Eukaryota; Fungi; Ascomycota; Sordariomycetes; Amphisphaeriales; Sporocadaceae
Source: the annotation of a RefSeq genome assembly
GGGGAUGUAACUCAGUGGUAGAGUGCUCGCUUUGCAUUAACAACGCAAAAAUGCGAGAAGUCCAGGUUUCGAUCACCUGCUUCUCCA